RNAcentral lists this long non-coding RNA (312 nucleotides) under Dromaius novaehollandiae (emu). RNAcentral describes it as "lncRNA (ENSDNVG00000012870.1)". The record is from RNAcentral. Lineage: Eukaryota; Metazoa; Chordata; Aves; Casuariiformes; Dromaiidae.
AUGAAUUUAGCCCACAAAAAUCUGCUUGCUAUCCUUGUGCAUAUACUGUAUUCAGUUUGGGGAUUUCAGAGGCUUUUCUCUGCUUGCUGUCCCUUCAGAUCUGGAUGUGAUAACAAACUACAGCCUGGGCAAUGGGUGUUUGACUUGCAGCUCUACAUCUUCCUGCUUUUCUGAAGGAUACAAUCUUACAUUACCCUGGGCUUGAGCAGUAAAGGAUAAAUUUGAUCACUGGCUGCCUUGUCAUCUCUUCAUUGUGAUGGAAAAAUGUUUGUCUAAAAUAAACCCUUUGUUAUGCUGCUAAAACUGCCUUUG